CUUUGUGUAUCUAUAUUUAAGUGCCGGAUUCUUACUCCGGAGAUGUGUUUAACACUACAGAGU
Molecule: transfer RNA, 63 nt
Filed under: Abothrium gadi
Lineage: Eukaryota; Metazoa; Platyhelminthes; Cestoda; Bothriocephalidea; Triaenophoridae
Description: tRNA-Lys
Source: RNAcentral